RNAcentral lists this ribosomal RNA (241 nucleotides) under uncultured bacterium. RNAcentral describes it as "partial 16S ribosomal RNA". It matches the Rfam family "Bacterial small subunit ribosomal RNA", at positions 333 to 588 of the family's 1533-position model. The record is from RNAcentral.
CCUUUCCUACGGGAGGCAGCAGUGGGGAAUAUUGGGCAAUGGGCGCAAGCCUGACCCAGCAACGCCGCGUGAAGGAAGAAGGCUUUCGGGUUGUAAACUUCUUUUCUCAGGGACGAAGCAAGUGACGGUACCUGAGGAAUAAGCCACGGCUAACUACGUGCCAGCAGCCGCGGCAAUACGUAGGGGGCAAGCGUUAUCCGGAUUUACUGGGUGUAAAGGGCGUGUAGGCGGGGACGCAAGU